Molecule: ribosomal RNA, 162 nt
Filed under: Alzatea verticillata
Lineage: Eukaryota; Viridiplantae; Streptophyta; Magnoliopsida; Myrtales; Alzateaceae
Description: 5.8S ribosomal RNA
Rfam family: 5.8S ribosomal RNA
About the family: 5.8S ribosomal RNA (5.8S rRNA) is a component of the large subunit of the eukaryotic ribosome. It is transcribed by RNA polymerase I as part of the 45S precursor that also contains 18S and 28S rRNA. Functionally, it is thought that 5.8S rRNA may be involved in ribosome translocation.
Source: RNAcentral
AAAAUGACUCUCGGCAACGGAUAUCUCGGCUCUCGCAUCGAUGAAGAACGUAGCGAAAUGCGAUACUUGGUGUGAAUUGCAGAAUCCCGUGAACCAUCGAGUCUUUGAACGCAAGUUGCGCCCGAAGCCAUUCGGUGGAGGGCACGCCUGCCUGGGCGUCAC